AAGUUACGUAUUGCUGGUGCUGUUCGGAUUCUAUCGUGUUUCCUAAGAGUUUGAUCCUGGCUCAGAUUGAACGCUGGCGGCAUGCUUUACACAUGCAAGUCGAACGGCAGCACGGGGGCAACCCUGGUGGCGAGUGGCGAACGGGUGAGUAAUACAUCGGAACGUGCCCAGUAAUGGGGAUAGCCCGGCGAAAGCCGGAUUAAUACCGCAUACGCCCUGAGGGGGAAAGCGGGGGACCGAAAGGCCUCGCGUUAUUGGAGCGGCCGAUGGCUGAUUAGCUAGUUGGUAGGGUAAAGGCCUACCAAGGCGACGAUCAGUAGCUGGUCUGAGAGGACGACCAGCCACACUGGGACUGAGACACGGCCCAGACUCCUACGGGAGGCAGCAGUGGGGAAUUUUGGACAAUGGGCGAAAGCCUGAUCCAGCAAUGCCGCGUGUGCGAAGAAGGCCUUCGGGUUGUAAAGCACUUUUACCAGGAACGAAAAGUCUGGCUCUAAUAAAGUCGGACGAUGACGGUACCUGGAGAAUAAGCACCGGCUAACUACGUGCCAGCAGCCGCGGUAAUACGUAGGGUGCAAGCGUUAAUCGGAAUUACUGGGCGUAAAGCGUGCGCAGGCGGUUGUGUAAGACAGAUGUGAAAUCCCCGGGCUUAACCUGGGAAUUGCAUUUGUGACUGCACGACUAGAGUGUGUCAGAGGGGGGUGGAAUUCCACGUGUAGCAGUGAAAUGCGUAGAUAUGUGGAGGAACACCAAUGGCGAAGGCAGCCCCCUGGGAUAACACUGACGCUCAUGCACGAAAGCGUGGGGAGCAAACAGGAUUAGAUACCCUGGUAGUCCACGCCCUAAACGAUGUCAACUAGUUGUUGGGGAUUUAUUUCCUUGGUAACGUAGCUAACGCGUGAAGUUGACCGCCUGGGGAGUACGGCCGCAAGGUUAAAACUCAAAGGAAUUGACGGGACCCGCACAAGCGGUGGAUGAUGUGGAUUAAUUCGAUGCAACGCGAAAAACCUUACCUACCCUUGACAUGGCAGGAACUUUCCAGAGAUGGAUUGGUGCUCGAAAGAGAACCUGCACACAGGUGCUGCAUGGCUGUCGUCAGCUCGUGUCGUGAGAUGUUGGGUUAAGUCCCGCAACGAGCGCAACCCUUGUCAUUAGUUGCUACGAAAGGGCACUCUAAUGAGACUGCCGGUGACAAACCGGAGGAAGGUGGGGAUGACGUCAAGUCCUCAUGGCCCUUAUGGGUAGGGCUUCACACGUCAUACAAUGGUCGGUACAGAGGGUUGCUAAGCCGCGAGGUGGAGCCAAUCCCAGAAAACCGAUCGUAGUCCGGAUUGCAGUCUGCAACUCGACUGCAUGAAGUCGGAAUCGCUAGUAAUCGCGGAUCAGCAUGCCGCGGUGAAUACGUUCCCGGGUCUUGUACACACCGCCCGUCACACCAUGGGAGUGGGUUCCACCAGAAGUAGUUAGCCUAACCGCAAGGGGGGCGAUUACCACGGUGGGAUUCAUGACUGGGGUGAAGUCGUAACAAGGUAGCCGUAUCGGAAGGUGCGGCUGGAUCACCUCCUUUCAAAGAGAAAGAAGAUGGAAAUCCUUGAAUUAUGGAAGCGUUAGCGUUCACACUUAUCGGUUUGUUUUAAUCGCAAAAGAAGAUUGAAGUAAUGAGUAAAUUAAUAGGUUGGAAGUGGGUGUUUGGUUUAAGAGCCAAACGCGAACGUUCAACCCAUGGGGCCUGUGUGGUGUUUGAAAAACACAGCAAAGGUCAAAGGCCCUGAGAUUUAAACCAAGUUUUAGGGUCUGUAGCUCAGUUGGUUAGAGCACCGUCUUGAUAAGGCGGGGGUCGAUGGUUCGAGUCCAUCCAGACCCACCAUGAUGACGUUUUGAAAAGUCCCUGAGAAUGGGUCUGAAGAUCAAGUUGGGGGUAUAGCUCAGUUGGGAGAGCACCUGCUUUGCAAGCAGGGGGUCAUCGGUUCGAUCCCGUUUACCUCCACCACUUUUCUUGACCAGUUAUUUUGGUUACUUCAACAAUCUGAAAGCGAAUUAAAACAAGAUCCUCGUCUUCAAGAUCUUCAUCUUGAUGGUGAUUAUGGGCUGUUUAGUGUUGAUAGUUGAUCUGUAGCUAAAUGAAUGAAUACUGGUCGCAGUGUUUAUUCAUUUGGCUGUAGAGCUGGUGAAUCUCUCAGAGAUUUGCCCAAUGUUCUUUAACAAUUUGAAAUGAUGAGAUAUCGAGAUUGACUCGAUUCUAGCGAAAGCUAGGAUUGAUCAACUUGAUUGAUGCGAUUGCAUCAUCGUUCUUCUCAAGAAACAGAAAUUCAAAUCAACGUUGCUGGCAACAGUGGCUUUGAGAUGCAGAUCUGACCUUGAAUAGAAUAAACGGCACAAAACUUCGUGGAAAUGUCAGUUUCCGGUGAUAAGGAUCUUUGAGGAGUCAUCCUCAAUAAGAGAUCAAACUCACCAAAUAGAGAAUCCUUUGUAGUGGUGCGUGUGGUGUUGAUUCGAAAGAAUUGGCAGUGCCCAACGCUAUAGAGUCAAGCGAAUAAGUGCACAUGGUGGAUGCCUUGGCGAUCAUAGGCGAUGAAGGACGUUGUAGCCUGCGAAAAGCUUCGGGGAGUCGGCAAACAGACUUUGAUCCGGAGAUGUCCGAAUGGGGAACCCACCUCUUAUAGAGGUAUCCCACACUGAAUACAUAGGUGUGUGGAAGCGAACCUGGAGAACUGAAACAUCUAAGUACCCAGAGGAAAAGAAAUCAACCGAGAUUCCGAAAGUAGCGGCGAGCGAAAUCGGAAGAGCCGUCGUAAUUUAGCAUCUUCGUUAAUAAAACAGUCUGGAAAGUCUGGCCAUAGUAGGUGAUAGCCCUGUAUAUGAAAACGUUGGUGUGGAACUAAGUACGAGACAAGUAGGGCGGGGCACGAGAAACCCUGUCUGAAUAUGGGGGACCAUCCUCCAAGGCUAAAUACUCAUGAUCGACCGAUAGUGAACUAGUACCGUGAGGGAAAGGCGAAAAGAACCCCGGGGGGAGUGAAAUAGAUCCUGAAACCGUGUGCAUACAAACAGUAGGAGCGGGCUUGUUCCGUGACUGCGUACCUUUGUAUAAUGGGUCAGCGACUUACAUUCAGUGGCAAGCUUAACCGAGUAGGGAAGGCGUAGGGAAACCGAGUCCGAAUAGGGCGUCUAGUCGCUGGGUGUAGACCCGAAACCAAGUGAUCUAUCCAUGGCCAGGUUGAAGGUUGGGUAACACCAACUGGAGGACCGAACCCACUAACGUUGAAAAGUUAGGGAUGAGCUGUGGAUAGGGGUGAAAGGCUAAACAAACUUGAGAUAGCUGGUUCUCCCCGAAAACUAUUUAGGUAGUGCCUCGAGUCUCACUGUAGGGGGUAGAGCACUGUUAUGGCUAGGGGGUCAUCGCGACUUACCAAACCAUGGCAAACUCCGAAUACCUACAAGUGCAAUCUCGGGAGACAGACAUCGGGUGCUAACGUCCGGUGUCAAGAGGGAAACAACCCAGACCGCCAGCUAAGGUCCCUAAUAUCUGCUAAGUGGAAAACGAGGUGGGAAGGCUAAAACAGUCAGGAGGUUGGCUUAGAAGCAGCCAUCCUUUAAAGAAAGCGUAAUAGCUCACUGAUCGAGUCGUCCUGCGCGGAAGAUGUAACGGGGCUAAGCAGAUAACCGAAGCUGCGGAUGCGCCUCUGGCGCAUGGUAGGGAGCGUUCUGUAAGCCUGUGAAGGUGUGUUGUAAAGCAUGCUGGAGGUAUCAGAAGUGCGAAUGCUGACAUGAGUAGCGAUAAAGGGAGKAAAARSCCCCCGCCGUAAGCCCCAAGGUUUCCUACGCAACGUUCAUCGGCGUAGGGUUAGUCGGCCCCUAAGGCGAGGCAGAAAUGCGUAGUCGAUGGGAAUCAGGUUAAUAUUCCUGAACCGACGUGUAAUGCGAUGGGGGACGGAUCGUGGAAGGUAGUCCGGGUGUUGGAUAUCCCGGUCCCUGCACAAUAGAGGACAGUUAGGCAAAUCCGGCUGUCAUAUACUCAAGGGUGUGGGGCGAAGUAGCUACGGCUACGAAGCUAUUGGAAGUGGUCCCAAGAAAAGCCUCUAAGCUUCAGUUACACGUUGACCGUACCGCAAACCGACACAGGUGGGCGGGAUGAGUAUUCUAAGGCGCUUGAGAGAACUCAGGAGAAGGAACUCGGCAAAUUGGUACCGUAACUUCGGGAGAAGGUACGCCUUUGUAGUUUGACCAUGAACAGUGGAAGGACGAAGAGGUUGCAAUAAAAUGGUGGCUGCGACUGUUUAAUAAAAACACAGCACUCUGCAAACACGAAAGUGGACGUAUAGGGUGUGACGCCUGCCCGGUGCUGGAAGAUUAAAUGAUGGGGUGCAAGCUCUUGACUGAAGUCCCAGUAAACGGCGGCCGUAACUAUAACGGUCCUAAGGUAGCGAAAUUCCUUGUCGGGUAAGUUCCGACCUGCACGAAUGGCGUAACGAUGGCCACACUGUCUCCUCCUGAGACUCAGCGAAGUUGAAGUGUUUGUGAUGAUGCAAUCUCCCCGCGGCUAGACGGAAAGACCCCAUGAACCUUUACUGUAGCUUUGCAUUGGACUUUGAACCGGUUUGUGUAGGAUAGGUGGGAGGCUUUGAAGUGGGAACGCCAGUUCUCAUGGAGCCAUCCUUGAAAUACCACCCUGAUCUGUUUGAGGUUCUAACCUAGACCCGUUAUCCGGGUCGGGGACCGUGCAUGGUGGGCAGUUUWACUGGGGCGGUUAGGGAAACACGAUAGAAUCCGAAAUGCA
Molecule: ribosomal RNA, 4777 nt
Filed under: uncultured bacterium
Lineage: Bacteria
Description: partial contains 16S ribosomal RNA, 16S-23S ribosomal RNA intergenic spacer, and 23S ribosomal RNA
Source: RNAcentral